GCUCAAGUAGCUUAAACCAACCAAAGCAUUGGCCUUGUAAACCAAAAAUGGGUCUCCCACACCCCCUGAGCA
This 72-nucleotide transfer RNA is filed under the name Hemidactylus mandebensis. RNAcentral's name for it is "tRNA-Thr". It matches the Rfam family "tRNA". Rfam says of the family: Transfer RNA (tRNA) molecules are approximately 80 nucleotides in length. Their secondary structure includes four short double-helical elements and three loops (D, anti-codon, and T loops). Further hydrogen bonds mediate the characteristic L-shaped molecular structure. tRNAs have two regions of fundamental functional importance: the anti-codon, which is responsible for specific mRNA codon recognition, and the 3' end, to which the tRNAs corresponding amino acid is attached (by aminoacyl-tRNA synthetases). tRNAs cope with the degeneracy of the genetic code in two manners: having more than one tRNA (with a specific anti-codon) for a particular amino acid; and 'wobble' base-pairing, i.e. permitting non-standard base-pairing at the 3rd anti-codon position. The record is from RNAcentral. Lineage: Eukaryota; Metazoa; Chordata; Lepidosauria; Squamata; Gekkonidae.